UGGGGGAUUUUGGACAAUGGGCGAAAGCCUGAUCCAGCAAUGCCGCGUGUGUGAAGAAGGCCUUCGGGUUGUAAAGCACUUUUGUCCGGAAAGAAAUCCUUGGCUCUAAUACAGUCGGGGGAUGACGGUACCGGAAGAAUAAGCACCGGCUAACUACGUGCCAGCAGCCGCGGUAAUACGUAGGGUGCAAGCGUUAAUCGGAAUUACUGGGCGUAAAGCGUGCGCAGGCGGUUUGCUAAGACCGAUGUGAAAUCCCCGGGCUCAACCUGGGAACUGCAUUGGUGACUGGCAGGCUAGAGUAUGGCAGAGGGGGGUAGAAUUCCACGUGUAGCAGUGAAAUGCGUAGAGAUGUGGAGGAAUACCGAUGGCGAAGGCAGCCCCCUGGGCCAAUACUGACGCUCAUGCACGAAAGCGUGGGGAGCAAACAGGAUUAGAUACCCUGGUAGUCCACGCCCUAAACGAUGUCAACUAGUUGUUGGGGAUUCAUUUCCUUAGUAACGUAGCUAACGCGUGAAGUUGACCGCCUGGGGAGUACGGUCGCAAGAUUAAAACUU
This 554-nucleotide ribosomal RNA is filed under the name uncultured bacterium. RNAcentral's name for it is "partial 16S ribosomal RNA". It matches the Rfam family "Bacterial small subunit ribosomal RNA", at positions 355 to 902 of the family's 1533-position model. The record is from RNAcentral.